RNAcentral lists this ribosomal RNA (280 nucleotides) under uncultured Dialister sp. RNAcentral describes it as "partial 16S ribosomal RNA". It matches the Rfam family "Bacterial small subunit ribosomal RNA", at positions 62 to 339 of the family's 1533-position model. Lineage: Bacteria; Bacillati; Bacillota; Negativicutes; Veillonellales; Veillonellaceae. The record is from RNAcentral.
CCUAGCGAUUGAAAAGUUAGUGGCGGACGGGUGAGUAACGCGUGGGUAACCUGCCUUCAGGAUGGGGACAACAGACGGAAACGACUGCUAAUACCGAAUAAGUUCCAAGAGCCGCAUGGCCCAUGGAAGAAAAGGUGGCCUCUACCUGUAAGCUAUCGCCUGAAGAGGGGUUUGCAUCUGAUUAGCUGGUUGGAGGGGUAACGGCCCACCAAGGCGACGAUCAGUAGCCGGUCUGAGAGGAUGAACGGCCACAUUGGGACUGAGACACGGCCCAAACUCC